Molecule: transfer RNA, 91 nt
Filed under: Firmicutes bacterium CAG:321
Lineage: Bacteria; Bacillati; Bacillota
Also listed under: 4 other names
Description: transfer RNA-Ser(GCT)
Rfam family: tRNA
About the family: Transfer RNA (tRNA) molecules are approximately 80 nucleotides in length. Their secondary structure includes four short double-helical elements and three loops (D, anti-codon, and T loops). Further hydrogen bonds mediate the characteristic L-shaped molecular structure. tRNAs have two regions of fundamental functional importance: the anti-codon, which is responsible for specific mRNA codon recognition, and the 3' end, to which the tRNAs corresponding amino acid is attached (by aminoacyl-tRNA synthetases). tRNAs cope with the degeneracy of the genetic code in two manners: having more than one tRNA (with a specific anti-codon) for a particular amino acid; and 'wobble' base-pairing, i.e. permitting non-standard base-pairing at the 3rd anti-codon position.
Source: RNAcentral
GGAGUAGUACUCAAGAGGCUGAAGAGGUGCCCCUGCUAAGGGUAUAGAGUGGGAAACUGCUGCGAGGGUUCAAAUCCCUCCUACUCCGCCA